Molecule: ribosomal RNA, 372 nt
Filed under: uncultured organism
Description: bacterial SSU rRNA
Rfam family: Bacterial small subunit ribosomal RNA
Source: RNAcentral
CGUAGGGUGCGAGCGUUAAUCGGAAUUACUGGGCGUAAAGUGUGCGCAGGUGGCCGCGCAUGUCGAGUGUGAAAUCCCCGGGCUUAACUUGGGAAUUGCGCUCGAAACUACGUGGCUAGAGUGUGGCAGAGGAAGGUGGAAUUCCACGUGUAGCGGUGAAAUGCGUAGAGAUGUGGAGGAACACCGAUGGCGAAGGCAGCCUUCUGGGCCAACACUGACGCUCAUGCACGAAAGCGUGGGGAGCAAACAGGAUUAGAUACCCUGGUAGUCCACGCCCUAAACGAUGAUGACUAGUUGUUGGAGGAGUUAAAUCCUUUAGUAACGCAGCUAACGCGUGAAGUCAUCCGCCUGGGGGGUACGGUCGCAAGAUUA